UUUAUCGGAGAGUUUGAUCCUGGCUCAGGACGAACGCUGGCGGCGUGCCUAAUACAUGCAAGUCGAGCGGACAGAUGGGAGCUUGCUCCCUGAUGUUAGCGGCGGACGGGUGAGUAACACGUGGGUAACCUGCCUGUAAGACUGGGAUAACUCCGGGAAACCGGGGCUAAUACCGGAUGGUUGUUUGAACCGCAUGGUUCAGACAUAAAAGGUGGCUUCGGCUACCACUUACAGAUGGACCCGCGGCGCAUUAGCUAGUUGGUGAGGUAACGGCUCACCAAGGCGACGAUGCGUAGCCGACCUGAGAGGGUGAUCGGCCACACUGGGACUGAGACACGGCCCAGACUCCUACGGGAGGCAGCAGUAGGGAAUCUUCCGCAAUGGACGAAAGUCUGACGGAGCAACGCCGCGUGAGUGAUGAAGGUUUUCGGAUCGUAAAGCUCUGUUGUUAGGGAAGAACAAGUGCCGUUCAAAUAGGGCGGCACCUUGACGGUACCUAACCAGAAAGCCACGGCUAACUA
This 521-nucleotide ribosomal RNA is filed under the name Bacillus velezensis. Its description in RNAcentral is "bacterial SSU rRNA". It matches the Rfam family "Bacterial small subunit ribosomal RNA", at positions 1 to 503 of the family's 1533-position model. Lineage: Bacteria; Bacillati; Bacillota; Bacilli; Caryophanales; Bacillaceae. The record is from RNAcentral.